Molecule: RNA transcript, 831 nt
Organism: Octopus bimaculoides (California two-spot octopus)
Lineage: Eukaryota; Metazoa; Mollusca; Cephalopoda; Octopoda; Octopodidae
Source: RefSeq, a predicted model, not a curated record
ACAGUUUUGUUCAAUUGGAUUACCUGUUUGGUUCGUGUGCUUUGUGUUGGGCAUUUGUGGAAUUGUUUAUGCUCCAGGAAUCCGCCGGAACUUUUGUCAAAUUUAAGAUAAUUUCUGUGUCACAUCUUGCGAGAAUCUUAUGUCAAGAUUUCCAACACGUUUUAUCAGACUCUUAUCAAGUGGCAAUCGAACGUGUGAGGUUUCAAACCCUGCAGGAAUGGUAAAGCAACCUUAGAAAGGAUGGAAGCAUCUCUUGAACUUCACGAUGAGAAAACAUACCAAGCUGUCUGUCCCACUACCUCCAUCUCUGAAGCAGCUUAGCUUUCUUUAUAUCUAACUAUCGAUCUCUUUGUAUAAUAUAUAUUUGUGUGUACGUCUCCUUCUCUCUUAUAUAUAUAGUACAGUAUAGUCCGUGUUAUCCGUGGUUAUCCGAUUGAUCCUCAUCAUUGAUUCCUUUCAUCAGAUGAUGCUGCAUAAGUCGAUGAAUCAGAGAAGGAUGGAUUUCUGUGCCUGUGUGAAGGCAAAUCUAGCUGUUAUAUUUAUCCUACAUUAUAUCGGUACGACCAUGAUGCAACCCCAAAAACACUGACUUAUUACUCACUGUCGUUAGACGGUAGCCUCGGAUCUUUAUUUGCAUACUCUUAACGUUACCUUAAACCAAUUUAAAAGGUGUGUGUGUGUGGGGGGGGGUAUGUGUGAGUUUUUUCUCCAACCACCGGUUGCCUACCGGUGCUUGUUUGUUUACAUCUCCGUAAAUUAGUAGAUCAGCAAAAAGUGCGGGAUUCAAUAAUUACAAGGCUUAAAAAGCAAAAAAAAAAAAAUAGUUAGAUU